UACGUAGGGCGCAAGCGUUGUCCGGAUUUAUUGGGCGUAAAGAGCUCGUAGGCGGUUUGUCGCGUCUGCUGUGAAAACCCGAGGCUCAACCUCGGGCCUGCAGUGGGUACGGGCAGACUAGAGUGCGGUAGGGGAGACUGGAAUUCCUGGUGUAGCGGUGGAAUGCGCAGAUAUCAGGAGGAACACCGAUGGCGAAGGCAGGUCUCUGGGCCGCAACUGACGCUGAGGAGCGAAAGCAUGGGGAGCGAACAGG
RNAcentral lists this ribosomal RNA (253 nucleotides) under uncultured Micrococcineae bacterium. RNAcentral's name for it is "partial 16S ribosomal RNA". It matches the Rfam family "Bacterial small subunit ribosomal RNA", at positions 524 to 776 of the family's 1533-position model. The record is from RNAcentral. Lineage: Bacteria; Bacillati; Actinomycetota; Actinomycetes; Micrococcales.